GAUGAACGCUGACAGAAUGCUUAACACAUGCAAGUCAACUGUGGCGGACGGGUGAGUAACGCGUAAAGAACUUGCCUCACAGAUAGGGACAACAUUUGGAAACGAAUGCUAAUACCUGAUACUGUGAGAGAGCUUUGCGUCCCAUUAGCUAGUUGGAGAGGUAACGGCUCACCAAGGCGAUGAUGGGUAGCCGGCCUGAGAGGGUGAUCGGCCACAAGGGGACUGGGACGCGGCCAUUACUCCAUCGGGAGGCAUCGGUGGGGAAUAUUGGACAAUGGACCAAAGUCUGAUGAAGCAAUUCGGUGUGCAAGAUGCAGUUUUCGGAAUGUAAAGUGCUUUCAGUUGGGACGCGGUACCAACAGAAGAAGUGACGGCUAAAUACGUGCCAGCAGCCGCGGUAAUUC
Molecule: ribosomal RNA, 404 nt
Filed under: uncultured bacterium
Lineage: Bacteria
Description: partial 16S ribosomal RNA
Rfam family: Bacterial small subunit ribosomal RNA
Source: RNAcentral